CAUUAUUUCAACGUUGUUGAGUUGAAUGUUUUGUUUGAAGUUGAAACAACUUGCUUGGUGUAAAAGGCUCUUUUUCUGAGCAAACAGAACUUAUCAGGUUGAUUCUUGAUAGGAAGGCGAAAUAAAUUUCAAAUUUUCAGUCAAAUCUGGAAAUUAGUGAGUAAAAAUGGCGAUUUUUCGGAUUAAACUUGAGCUAUAAAGAAUGACGGUGGACCCAAGUUCGUGUGGAUUAGAAGAAAUCCCUUUACGAAAUAUGUAUCAUAAAGUUUCAACUGAUAGGAUUGUUUUCUUUUUGGUAAUGAGAAGCUGUUGCCAGAUAGGAUUUUUUGAAAUUUGACUCACAACGAAAGUAAUCAGGUUCCAGUGAGUAGUUUGGAAACUCCUUAGGUCGUACAACUUCAACACCCUGAAUCUGACGAUGCCUAUCUACAUUCUAGAUCCUGUAUACUUGAAUUUCAGGAAAAAAUUAGCUGAAUAAUAUCGUCCUGGAAGCUAAAUGUUGAUUGAAGCUCGGCUGAGCGAUGGCCCGAUGGUUUUGGUCGAUUGGUUCCUUCAAAUUUGAAAUGUAAGAAACUGAAGAUUAAUGAAACCUGAAGUGGCAAUAUAGAGAUUUUCUAACUGAAUCGAAUCUUUUUUGCAAAGGAGCAGGAAUCCAGUGAAGAAUAACAAAAAUUGUUACUGUUCACAAAAUCGUUCGAUAUUACAAUGGGUAAUUUAAUUUUAAAAUUUUUCAAUUCCUAUACCUUGCAUUGUCGACUUCGUUCAACGUGGCUCCUUUUUUCUACGAAAUACAAUUUUGAAAAUCUCGAAUGGAAGGUUAGGUAUAUAGACGAAGAUCUUGUGAAUUCUGCUCAAGCAGUUUCAAUAUUUUGUGCUAUCGUACUGUCAGAUCAACCACAAAUUUUCCUCAAUUUUUCCCAACUUUGCGUAGCAUGAUUCGAAUGUUGAAGAGUUUUUUUUUUUUUUACGACGAAGAAGUUGAGGAUAGUAGGAAGUAUCGUAAUGAUGAUUCGUAGCUCGUAGGUACAUUUUGAGUAUUUAAAAAAAAAAGAAGGGAGUUCAACGUUGCUAGCUGUCUUAUUGUUAUUCAGCGUGAAAUGAAUCGAUGUUGCGUUGAUCAUGAUCCUGAAGUCUCAAUAAAAUGCUAAGUGCUGUAAAGUAAAAAUUUCCAUUUUUGUGAUUGCAACACGGUAAAUAAAUACUAUCGUUAUUUACCUUGGAUUGCAAUGAAAAUUCCGGCCAUUUUCUUGGGAUAUUUAAACUUGUAAAGAUGUCAUGUUUAGUGACUUAUUUCAUCAAUCUGCUGGUGAAUGGUUCUCUCAGUAGUCAGUUCUUAGAACUUAGAACAGAUGUUGCUGCAGCUUACAGCUUACAAAAAUACAAAUUGUUGUUGAAAUAUUAAAUUGUACCUAUGUAGUAACAUUGA
Molecule: long non-coding RNA, 1426 nt
Organism: Planococcus citri (citrus mealybug)
Lineage: Eukaryota; Metazoa; Arthropoda; Insecta; Hemiptera; Pseudococcidae
Exons: 4
Source: RefSeq, a predicted model, not a curated record